UACGUAGGGUCCAAGCGUUAUCCGGAAUCACUGGGCGUAAAGCGUCCGUAGGUGGUCUGUUAAGUGAGAUGUGAAAGCGUGUGGCUCAACCAUAUCGUUGUGUUUCAUACUGGCAGACUAGAGGGAAGCAGAGGCAAGUGGAAUUGGCAGUGUAGCAGUGAAAUGCGUAGAGAUUGCCAGGAACACCAAUGGCGAAGGCAGCUUGCUGGGCUUCUUCUGACACUGAGGGACGAAAGCGUGGGGAGCGAACAGG
This 253-nucleotide ribosomal RNA is filed under the name uncultured prokaryote. RNAcentral describes it as "partial 16S ribosomal RNA". It matches the Rfam family "Bacterial small subunit ribosomal RNA", at positions 524 to 776 of the family's 1533-position model. The record is from RNAcentral.